AUGAACGGGCAAAAUUACCACAGAAUAGGCACUCUACUACCUGAAGGUAAAGACAGACCACGCUGGGCACAGUUGUACAUCUAUGACACUGAAAAUGAGGUAAGAAACAUGAUUAAGGCGUCGACGUCUGAAGAUAAAAUGGAGUCAAUAGAUGCUCACAUCGUCGAGGAACUUAAAAUAUGCUGGAUAGAGAUAAUAUACUUGCAAAAACAUUCAGAAUGGCAAGGGACAGAUUCGAAGAAGGUGACUAUCACAACAUGA
RNAcentral lists this ribosomal RNA (261 nucleotides) under Triticum aestivum (bread wheat). RNAcentral describes it as "partial small subunit ribosomal RNA". The record is from RNAcentral. Lineage: Eukaryota; Viridiplantae; Streptophyta; Magnoliopsida; Poales; Poaceae.